UACGUAGGGAGCAAGCGUUGUCCGGAAUUAUUGGGCGUAAAGGGUAGGUAGGUGGUCUCAUUUGUCUGGGGUGAAAGCCUUGAGCUUAACUCAAGAAGUGCCCCAGAAACGGUGAGACUGGAGUCCUGGAGAGGGUCGUGGAAUUCCCGGUGUAGCGGUGAAAUGCGUAGAGAUCGGGAGGAACACCAGAGGCGAAAGCGGCGACCUGGACAGGCACUGACACUCAACUACGAAAGCGUGGGGAGCAAACAGG
This 253-nucleotide ribosomal RNA is filed under the name uncultured bacterium. Its description in RNAcentral is "partial 16S ribosomal RNA". It matches the Rfam family "Bacterial small subunit ribosomal RNA", at positions 524 to 776 of the family's 1533-position model. The record is from RNAcentral.